Molecule: RNA transcript, 1608 nt
Organism: Cercocebus atys (sooty mangabey)
Lineage: Eukaryota; Metazoa; Chordata; Mammalia; Primates; Cercopithecidae
Gene name: transcription factor Sp2 pseudogene
Exons: 1
Source: RefSeq, a predicted model, not a curated record
AGGCACUGGGCUCCGAGGGCUUGGGGCUGCAGCAUCCUGGACAGACUCACCGAAAACACUUUCUCUUCACUGUCUCACUAUAAAUACCCUAGGUUAUGAGACUGGGGAAGGUUCAGUUAGCCACAUUUUCUUUACUGAGACACCAUGGCCAUUUACCUAAGGUGCCACAGUUGGGCUGCCGGAAAAACAAGGAUUAAACUCUGUGUUCCUUCCACCAGACCUCACUAAAAGAGGAAAAGGAGAACAGAGGCUCUCUCAUUGUCUCGAAAGUGUAGCCCAAUCUAUAAAGUUACAUGUUCUGAGUACUAAAAAGCCCUUUACUGAAGUAUUUAUUCCUCCUGUUGCCCCUCCAUUUCUUUUUUCCUCCCUCCUUUCCUCAGUUGAGCAAUCAGGGACCCCUCAGUCCCUGGGGUGGGCUAACAAAACUCCAUCUAAGAGCCAAACAUGCUUCACUGUCCUUAGAAACAAGGCCAGUGGGGAGUAGGAAGUCAGCUCACAUUGUUAGUUUACCGUGUUUGUGGGGUGUGGCCAGGGAUUCCUUCCUGAGAAAGACACUGUCCACCUUUUCUCCCUCACUUAAUGGAGAAACCAGUAGAGAAGGGGAGACAGCAGCCAAGCAGGGGAGGGUGCUGGCAACAUGCCUGCCACGGAGGUGGGGAAGAGUGGCGUGGAAUACCGCCAAGAAGAGAGGAUCAUGGACAGAGGCGGCUGGGCAGCAGGCCUUCCUGUCUCAUUCCUUUUCUCUGCUGUUUUUUUGCAGGACUCCCAGCCAUCUCCCUUAGCCCUGCUUGCUGCAACAUGUAGCAAAAUUGGCCCUCCAGCAGUUGAAGCUGCUGUGACACCUCCUGCUCCCCCACAGCCCACACCGCGGAAACUUGUCCCUAUCAAACCUGCCCCUCUCCCUCUCAGCCCCGGCAAGAAUAGCUUUGGAAUCUUGUCCUCCAAAGGAAAUAUACUUCAGAUUCAGGGGUCACAACUGAGCGCCUCCUAUCCUGGAGGGCAGCUGGUGUUUGCUAUCCAGAAUCCCACCAUGAUCAACAAAGGGACCCGAUCAAAUGCCAAUAUCCAGUACCAGGCAGUCCCUCAGAUUCAGGCAAGCAGUUCCCAAACCAUCCAAGUACAGCCCAAUCUCACCAACCAGAUCCAGAUCAUCCCUGGCACCAACCAAGCCAUCAUCACCCCCUCACCAUCCAGUCACAAGCCUGUCCCCAUCAAGCCAGCCCCCAUCCAGAAGUCAAGUACGACCACCACCCCCGUGCAGAGCGGGGCCAAUGUGGUGAAGUUGACAGGUGGGGGCGGCAAUGUGACGCUCACUCUGCCUGUCAACAACCUCGUGAACGCCAGUGACACCGGGGCCCCCACUCAGCUCCUCACUGAAAGCCCCCCAACCCCACUGUCUAAGACUAACAAGAAAGCAAGGAAGAAGAGCCUUCCUGCCUCCCAGCCCCCUGUGGCUGUGGCUGAGCAGGUGGAGACGGUGCUGAUCGAGACCACCGCGGACAACAUCAUCCAAGCAGGAAAUAACCUGCUCAUUGUUCAGAGCCCUGGGGGGGGCCAGCCAGCUGUGGUCCAGCAGGUCCAGGUGGUGCCCCCCAAGGCCGAGCAGCA